GGAGAUCAAUGAGAUGGAUUCAAACUUUUUUGUGCAGAACCCUUCUCUGCUUUUUCAACUUAAGCAGGUUGAAUUUUUGAAGCUGGUUGGCUCUGGGGAUCAUACUCAGGCACUGAGGGUAGCCUGUUCUUUUCUGGGCCCUUUGGCUUCUAGUCAUCCUGAUCUGUUGAAGCCAUUGAAGGAGACUUUGCUAGCUUUGCUCAAACCUAAUGAAGAGGCAUUUAAUGAUCGCUUGCCCUUAUGUGUUCUUGCCAAUUCACUCCAGGUUGCUAUUGGUAGGAGGCUUGGUAUUGAAGAACCCCAGCUUAUGAAGAUCAUAAGGGCCACGCUGUAUACUCACAGUGAGUGGUUCAAACUUCAAAUGUGUAAAGAUCGAUUUGAGGGGCUCUUGAGGAUCGACGCCCUGAAGGAAGUUGGUGCCAAAUUGAUUAUAGAUGCUUCCAGAUUGGAUGUUGACAUGAGCACUGAUGGAUCAUCUCAAGUUACUGGUUCCUCAAAUAAUAGGAAACAGGAAGAUGGAAGUCCAACCCAGUCAUCAGCCAGAGAUGUUGGAUGUGAUGAAACUGCAAUACUAAAAGUUAUGGAAUUUCUAGCAUUGCCCAGAGCAGAUGCAAUUCACCUCCUUGCACAGUACGACGGGAAUGCAGAGACAGUCAUUCAGCAGAUAUUUGCAUAGCCCCUAAAUUAUAGCUGAACAGUAAUAUUCGUUUAUUUGUUACAUUAUUUUAUUGUACCAUAAAUUCUUACUUGUGAGGCUCAUUGGGAUGGAAUAACUCGUAAAAGAAAACAAAAAAAAAUAGGUGGGAAGGGAAUGUCUUUAUGUAUAGCCUGAAGUUUUUUGGGUGUCAAGUAUAGUUGAUGAGAGGGUUGAUUAUGUGAAGUGUUCUGUAAAUACCCUUCAGUUCCUUAGCCAUAUUUAUUUGGCGGAGCAUCG
RNAcentral lists this unclassified non-coding RNA (934 nucleotides) under Hevea brasiliensis (rubber tree). Lineage: Eukaryota; Viridiplantae; Streptophyta; Magnoliopsida; Malpighiales; Euphorbiaceae. The record is from RNAcentral.